CCUACGGGAGGCAGCAGUGAGGAAUAUUGGUCAAUGGGCGAGAGCCUGAACCAGCCAAGUCGCGUGAGGGAAGACGGCCCUAUGGAUUGUAAACCUCUUUUGCCGGGGAGCAAAAGACGGCACGCGUGGCGUUCCGAGAGUACCCGUAGAAAAAGCAUCGGCAAACUCCGUGCCAGCAGCCGCGGUAAUACGGAGGAUGCGAGCGUUAUCCGGAUUUAUUGGGUUUAAAGGGUGCGCAGGCGGAAGGGAAAGUCAGCGGUAAAAUUGAGAGGCUCAACCUCUUCGCGUCGUUGAAACUGGGUGUCUUGAGUGAGCGAGAAGUAUGCGGAAUGCGUGGUGUAGCGGUGAAAUGCAUAGAUAUCACGCAGAACUCCGAUUGCGAAGGCAGCGUACCGGCGCCCAACUGACGCUCAUGCACGAAAGCGUGGGUAUCGAACAGGAUUAGAUACCCCUGUAGUC
Molecule: ribosomal RNA, 459 nt
Filed under: uncultured bacterium
Lineage: Bacteria
Description: partial 16S ribosomal RNA
Rfam family: Bacterial small subunit ribosomal RNA
Source: RNAcentral